UGGGUGACUUGGCGUGCUCUUAGAGGAGCCACAUGCCGGGCAAUAGAAUCUCCAGAGCUGCUUAAUUAUUGCCUUAGGGGGCUGGGUGGUAAGGUUACUGAUGAUGGCAUGAUGGUUGCCGUCCGUUGCAAUGCUGAAACAAGUGCAAUGGAGUACAGGUCAGGCAAAACAUAUCAGCUUGUAUCUUGCUUAUUUCUAGUUUUAAGUCUAUUCAGGCAUCAAUUCUAUGCAUUGCUACUAAUCCUAUGCAUUGCAACUAAUCCUAUUGGAGGGCCACAAGGUGAUCACUCUUGAUAAAAUAUUAUUGGGUGAAAUCUUUACAUACUGAUUGUCAGUAUAUAUUUUCCUUUUCUGGAAAAUGCAGGCUUGAGGAAGCUUCAAACCAGAUGCAGUCCACUCAAUACUUGUCCAGGCCAACUGCCGAUCAGCUCCUCCAUGAUCUCAAAUUCUUGUAUGAUGCCAUUCUUAAUCCGACGACCAUGCAAUCUUACAAGCCACAGGCCACAAAUGAUUCCGUCAGGAGUUCAGCAUCAAAACUCCUCGACUGUAAGCAAUUCAUAAAGCAUUAUGAUGAUCCUGCUUCUGGUUGGUUGUCUUCUGGUCCAUUUGUGCUUCGGAUCUGGUGCCAUGUCGAGUUGAUUGAUCAUCCUAAGGACUAUACUGCUUCCCCACCGGAGCUUUUGAUUCUGCCAAUGUCUGCCACUGUAGCUGAUUUAAAGCAACAAGUGGCUAGAGCUUUUCAAGAAACAUACCUCGUCUUCCAAAGGUUCCAAGUUGAGCAGUUAAUAUUGGACCGUGGAGAUAUUGGUGAGUUAACUCUUGUCAAGCAUAUAUUUGGUCCAAAUGAAAUUGCCAUGAUCAGAGGAAAGUGUGUUGGAGAUGAUAGAAGGCUGGGACAGUUCCGUAUGGAAAGAGGGUUGGAGAAUUGGAUUGUGGAUUGUUAUUGUGGAGCAAAAGA
Molecule: long non-coding RNA, 958 nt
Filed under: Elaeis guineensis (African oil palm)
Lineage: Eukaryota; Viridiplantae; Streptophyta; Magnoliopsida; Arecales; Arecaceae
Description: long non-coding RNA (EGUI_LNC018441)
Source: RNAcentral